UAUAUAUAUAUAUAUAUAUAUAUAUAUAUAUAUAUAUAUAUAUAUAUUCUGAUACUUCAUUAGGAUCUAAAUUAGGUUUCUUACUGAUGGGCCUAAUAACUGCCAACUUGAAGGAUAAAGUCCAUUCUUUAUGUCUAUAUUACACUAUAUUUAUUUCUCAAAUCUGAUUGUUCAGAAAGUGUUGAUUCAUGUUUAUCACAACAAUCCUGACAACAGCACAACAGGUAAAAAGUAAACCAUCUUAUAUUUUAAUAUAGUUUUUAAAAGUUACAUUUUUGUCAAAAAUAUACGACACCUGGAACAUUCUAUUCUGAAUAUGUAAAUGUUUAUUUAUAUAUAAAUAAUAUAUAAAUAUUUUACUUUUUGUAAAUAUUUUAUGAUUUGUGUGCGUACUUCAAUUUGAUUUACCACCCCAUCACACUAACUUUUAUCAAUAACUUUUAUCAAUAAAUAAUCUACUGUUGCAUUAAAUGACAUCACAAAGCGGAGGUGACAUCAUUGGAGCCUUGACAUCAUUGGAGCCAUGAACAAAAAAAGGCAAGUACUGACAUUCCUCUACAUUCUUUAUUUGUUGAUUUUUCAUGUUAGGCAGCUUCCGUCAAGCUCAAACCAACCAGCCUGUCACGCAAGAUAGAGAGGGAAAACAGAUUUUUAUGUAUUUUUAACAUUAUUAAUGCAAAUAAAAUUAGAUUUCAGAUGAAAUGCACGUAUGCUAGGUGAGGAACUUGACCACAUGGGAGACAUGCGGCCAUUUUGGGAUGAUAUUUACCACCCCGUCACAUACCACCUCGUCACAUGUUUUAUUGUGACGUGGUGGUAAGGAAUUUGACGGGUGGUUCUGCUUCCCAUUUGAAUGUGAAGAUGUGUGAAAUCAAGGAUUCUGAUAUAGGUUCAUAUUUUGUAUCUGUUAACCCUGUUUUGCUUAUUCAUUACCUCACUGUCACACAAUCACUAUGUCACUCAAUCACUCUUUCACUCACUCUCUCUCUCACUCACUAUGUCACUCACUCACUAUGUCAAUCAUUCACUAUGUCACUCACUCAUCCACCCACUCAUUCAUUCACUUGAAAAGAACAGCGGACAAGCUGGUGACCAACGGGCGUGACAUACCCGAUGCCCAUGUGCUAUAUAAGGCCCUAACUGAAACAUCUACAACUGUUAAGUUUUAUGUACACUCUAAAAAAUGAUUCAUGGGGUUAGUUUGUAAAACUUAAAAUAAACAAUAUUUUCAGCAUAAAAUAAUUAAGUUUGUAAUAUGUACUUGUAUUGGUGAGUUGAUAACUCAUUUUAAUAAGUCUUUCAAAAUUAAAAUAAUGAAUACUGUCUUAACUUAAUUAUAUAUCGAUUUUGAACACAGACUUUUACCUUCUCGUAACAACAGAAAAAUAUUAAGUUAGUGAAACUUGUAUAUCUAGUGAGCAUCUUUUAAAAAGUUGAGUAAAGGUGGAAUUUGCCCGGACGUGUUUUUCUGCCAGAGAAGGACUAGGAGCCGGAGAAACAGGAGAAUCGAGGCUAUAUAGGAUGAUGAGGUGCCACAAAUUUUGACCCAGCCAACGCCAGUAUUAUUAUUGAGGGAACGGAAGUCCUGCAAGACCUGGAUGCAUCCAGAGCCUGUGCCCUGCUAGGGCUGAUAUAUGCUCUCAACCUCAGCUACCCAAAGGAACUAAAAAAUACUUUUGAGGUGUUUCAGAAAAUAAUUCUUGAGCUGGAUGGUCUGAAAGCUAGGCCAAAGGUAAUGUCUUUAAACAAUAAACUGUUGUAUUCCUGAAA
Molecule: long non-coding RNA, 1770 nt
Organism: Tachysurus fulvidraco (yellow catfish)
Lineage: Eukaryota; Metazoa; Chordata; Actinopteri; Siluriformes; Bagridae
Exons: 2
Source: RefSeq, a predicted model, not a curated record